Molecule: ribosomal RNA, 504 nt
Filed under: uncultured bacterium
Lineage: Bacteria
Description: partial 16S ribosomal RNA
Rfam family: Bacterial small subunit ribosomal RNA
Source: RNAcentral
AUUGAACGCUGGCGGCAGGCCUAACACAUGCAAGUCGAACGGUAGCACAGAGAGCUUGCUCUCGGGUGACGAGUGGCGGACGGGUGAGUAAUGUCUGGGAAACUGCCCGAUGGAGGGGGAUAACUACUGGAAACGGUAGCUAAUACCGCAUAACGUCGCAAGACCAAAGUGGGGGACCUUCGGGCCUCACACCAUCGGAUGUGCCCAGAUGGGAUUAGCUAGUAGGUGGGGUAAUGGCUCACCUAGGCGACGAUCCCUAGCUGGUCUGAGAGGAUGACCAGACACCUUGGAACUGAGACACGGUCCAGACUCCUACGGGAGGCAGCAGUGGGGAAUAUUGCACAAUGGGCGCAAGCCUGAUGCAGCCAUGCCGCGUGUAUGAAGAAGGCCUUCGGGUUGUAAAGUACUUUCAGCGGGGAGGAAGGCGGUGGGGUUAAUAACUUCACCGAUUGACGUUACCCGCAGAAGAAGCACCGGCUAACUCCGUGCCAGCCGCCGCCGUAA